RNAcentral lists this ribosomal RNA (301 nucleotides) under uncultured bacterium. RNAcentral's name for it is "partial 16S ribosomal RNA". It matches the Rfam family "Bacterial small subunit ribosomal RNA", at positions 509 to 807 of the family's 1533-position model. The record is from RNAcentral.
CAGUAGCCGCGGUAAUGCGUAGGUGACAAGCGUUGUCCGGAAUUAUUGGGCGUAAAGGGAGCGCAGGCGGUUGGAAUAGUCUGAUGUGAAAGCCCACGGCUUAACCGUGGAAUUGCAUUGGAAACUGUCCAACUUGAAUGCAGAAGAGGAAAGCGGAAUUCCAUGUGUAGCGGUGAAAUGCGUAGAUAUAUGGAGGAACACCAGUGGCGAAGGCGGCUUUCUGGUCUGUGAUUGACGCUGAGGCUCGAAAGCGUGGGGAGCGAACAGGAUUAGAUACCCGAGUAGUCCCUGUCUCUUAUAC